CGCCCUUAGAGUUUGAUCCUGGCUCAAGAUGAACUCUAUCUACAGGCUUAACACAUGCAAGUCGAGGGGCAGCGGGAUUGAAGCUUGCUUCAAUUGCCGGCGACCGGCGCACGGGUGAGUAACGCGUAUCCAACCUUCCGUACACUCAGGGAUAGCCUUUCAAAAGAAAGAUUAAUACCUGAUGGUAUCUUAAGCACACAUGUAAUUAAGAUUAAAGAUUUAUCGGUGUACGAUGGGGAUGCGUUCCAUUAGGUAGUAGGCGGGGUAACGGCCCACCUAGCCAACGAUGGAUAGGGGUUCUGAGAGGAAGGUCCCCCACAUUGGAACUGAGACACGGUCCAAACUCCUACGGGAGGCAGCAGUGAGGAAUAUUGGUCAAUGGACGAGAGUCUGAACCAGCCAAGUAGCGUGAAGGAUGAAGGUCCUACGGAUUGUAAACUUCUUUUAUAAGGGAAUAAACCCUCCCACGUGUGGGAGCUUGUAUGUACCUUAUGAAUAAGCAUCGGCUAACUCCGUGCCAGCAGCCGCGGUAAUACGGAGGAUGCGAGCGUUAUCCGGAUUUAUUGGGUUUAAAGGGAGCGCAGACGGGUCGUUAAGUCAGCUGUGAAAGUUUGGGGCUCAACCUUAAAAUUGCAGUUGAUACUGGCGUCCUUGAGUGCGGUUGAGGUGUGCGGAAUUCGUGGUGUAGCGGUGAAAUGCUUAGAUAUCACGAAGAACUCCGAUUGCGAAGGCAGCACACUAAUCCGUAACUGACGUUCAUGCUCGAAAGUGUGGGUAUCAAACAGGAUUAGAUACCCUGGUAGUCCACACGGUAAA
This 816-nucleotide ribosomal RNA is filed under the name uncultured bacterium. RNAcentral describes it as "bacterial SSU rRNA". It matches the Rfam family "Bacterial small subunit ribosomal RNA", at positions 1 to 806 of the family's 1533-position model. The record is from RNAcentral.